AGCGAACGCUGGCGGCAGGCCUAACACAUGCAAGUCGAACGAACCUUUCGGGGUUAGUGGCGGACGGGUGAGUAACACGUGGGAACGUGCCUUUAGGUUCGGAAUAACUCAGGGAAACUUGUGCUAAUACCGAAUGUGCCCUUCGGGGGAAAGAUUAAUCGCCUUUAGAGCGGCCCGCGUCUGAUUAGCUAGUUGGUUGAGGUAAUGGCUCACCAAGGCGACGAUCAGUAGCUGGUCUGAGAGGAUGAUCAGCCACAUUGGUACUGAGACACGGCCCAAAAUCCUACGGGAGGCAGCAGUGGGGAAUCUUGCGCAAUGGGCGAAAGCAUGACGCAGCCAUGCCGCGUGAAUGAUGAAGGUCUUAGGAUUGUAAAAUUCUUUAACCGGGGACGAUAAUGACGGUACCCGAAGAAGAAGCCCCGGCUAACUUCGUG
This 434-nucleotide ribosomal RNA is filed under the name uncultured bacterium. RNAcentral describes it as "partial 16S ribosomal RNA". It matches the Rfam family "Bacterial small subunit ribosomal RNA", at positions 29 to 507 of the family's 1533-position model. The record is from RNAcentral.